UUUUUUUUUUUUAAAUGUCUUUUUGUCACUUCUAGCUGGACCUACCAUGAAAGACUUCUGAAUCCAGGAAGAGAAACUGACUGGGCAACAUGUUAUUCAGCUGGAUCUACCAUGAAAGACUUGUGAAUCCAGGAAGAGAGACUGACUGGGCAACAUGUUAUUCAGAAUCUUCCUGUGCCAUCCAGGCUGGAGUGCAGUGAUGUGAUCAUAGCUCACUAUAGCUUUGGCCUUCUGAGAUCAAGCAAUCCUCCCAUCUCAACCUCCCAAGUAGCUAGGACUACACACGCAUGUCACCCAUGCCCAGAUCAUUUUUGUAGAGUCAGAGUUUCACCGUGGUGGCCAGGUUGGCCAUGUUGGCCAGAUGGGGUCUUCUUUUGUUGCCCAGGCUGGCCACAAAUUCCUGGGCUCAAGUGAUCCUCCCACCUCGUCCUUGUAGAGAUGAGAUUUAGUUAUGUCGUCCAGGCUGAUCUCAAACUCCUGGGCUAAAUCGAUUGUCUCACCUCAGCCUCUCAAGUAUGUUAUGAAGGUUAUAUGUUAGGAAGGGUCCCAGGAGGUAAACCCACACAGAUGGGAUUUGGGCAUAGGUUUGGUUUCCCAGGGGGCAGUGCUGAGCUCUUUGCCAGUGGGAAAUGGGAUGCUGGUGAUUUCCAGUAGGUGACCUCACAGUGACUCAAGCUACCACUUACUGUUGAUUGUGACGAAAUGCCAGCUGAGGCACAUGCCUUGGGAGCUAAGUGGUUGCUGCCCUUGACCACUGUGAAGACUGGUGUGGGAAGGGUCGUUUUGGAUGCACUUGAGCAGGGGUCCCCAACCCCUGAGCCAUGGAGCCGCAAGGAGCCACACAGCAGGAGGUGGGAACAUCCAGUUGCAGGAAAACAAGCUUAACACGCCCACUGAUUCUACAUUAUGGGUCUCCCUCUGUUGUCCAAGGCUGGAGUGUAGUAGUGCUAUCGCAGCUGACUGCAGCCUCAACCUUCCAGGCUGAAGCGAUCCUCCCACCUCAACCUCCCACGUGGCUGAGACUACAGGUGCUUGCCACUAUGCCCAACUAACAUUUGGAAUUUUCGUAUACGUGGAUUCUAGAGGGGUGACAGCGAAACGUGGGACCAUCCAGUUGCAGGAAAACAAGCUUGACACGCCCACUAAUUCUACAUUAUG
This 1158-nucleotide long non-coding RNA is filed under the name Homo sapiens (human). RNAcentral describes it as "HSALNT0317701". Lineage: Eukaryota; Metazoa; Chordata; Mammalia; Primates; Hominidae. The record is from RNAcentral.